UGAACGCUGGCGGUAGGCCUAACACAUGCAAGUCGAACGGCAGCACAGUAAGAGCUUGCUCUUACGGGUGGCGAGUGGCGGACGGGUGAGGAAUACAUCGGAAUCUACUUUUUCGUGGGGGAUAACGUAGGGAGACUUACGCUAAUACCGCAUACGACCUACGGGUGAAAGCAGGGGAUCUUCGGACCUUGCGCGAUUGAAUGAGCCGAUGUCGGAUUAGCUAGUUGGCGGGGUAAAGGCCCACCAAGGCGACGAUCCGUAGCUGGUCUGAGAGGAUGAUCAGCCACACUGGAACUGAGACACUGUCCAGACUCCUACGGGAGGCAGCAGUGGGGAAUAUUGGACAAUGGGCGCAAGCCUGAUCCAGCCAUACCGCGUGGGUGAAGAAGGCCUUCGGGUUGUAAAGCCCUUUUGUUGGGAAAGAAAAGCAGCAGGUUAAUACCCCGCUGUUCUGACGGUACCCAAAGAAUAAGCACCGGCUAACUUCGUG
Molecule: ribosomal RNA, 490 nt
Filed under: uncultured bacterium
Lineage: Bacteria
Description: partial 16S ribosomal RNA
Rfam family: Bacterial small subunit ribosomal RNA
Source: RNAcentral